AACGAACGCUGGCGGCAUGCCUAACACAUGCAAGUCGAACGAGACCUUCGGGUCUAGUGGCGCACGGGUGCGUAACGCGUGGGAACCUGCCCUUAGGUUCGGAAUAACUCCCCGAAAGGGGUGCUAAUACCGGAUAAUGUCUUCGGACCAAAGAUUUAUCGCCUUUGGAUGGGCCCGCGUUGGAUUAGCUAGUUGGUAGGGUAAAAGCCUACCAAGGCGACGAUCCAUAGCUGGUCUGAGAGGCUGAUCAGCCACACUGGGACUGAGACACGGCCCAGACUCCUACGGGAGGCAGCAGUGGGGAAUAUUGGACAAUGGGCGAAAGCCUGAUCCAGCAAUGCCGCGUGAGUGAUGAAGGCCUUAGGGUUGUAAAGCUCUUUUACCCGGGAUGAUAAUGACAGUACCGGGAGAAUAAGCGCCGGCUAACUCCGUG
This 433-nucleotide ribosomal RNA is filed under the name uncultured bacterium. RNAcentral's name for it is "partial 16S ribosomal RNA". It matches the Rfam family "Bacterial small subunit ribosomal RNA", at positions 29 to 507 of the family's 1533-position model. The record is from RNAcentral.